This 506-nucleotide ribosomal RNA is filed under the name uncultured Bacillota bacterium. RNAcentral describes it as "bacterial SSU rRNA". It matches the Rfam family "Bacterial small subunit ribosomal RNA", at positions 355 to 851 of the family's 1533-position model. The record is from RNAcentral. Lineage: Bacteria; Bacillati; Bacillota.
UAGGGAAUCUUCCGCAAUGGACGAAAGUCUGACGGAGCAACGCCGCGUGAGCGAAGAAGGCCUUCGGGUCGUAAAGCUCUGUUGUUAGGGAAGAACAAGUACCAGAGUAACUGCUGGUACCUUGACGGUACCUAACCAGAAAGCCACGGCUAACUACGUGCCAGCAGCCGCGGUAAUACGUAGGUGGCAAGCGUUGUCCGGAAUUAUUGGGCGUAAAGCGCGCGCAGGUGGUUUCUUAAGUCUGAUGUGAAAGCCCACGGCUCAACCGUGGAGGGUCAUUGGAAACUGGGGAACUUGAGUGCAGAAGAGGAAAGUGGAAUUCCACGUGUAGCGGUGAAAUGCGUAGAGAUGUGGAGGAACACCAGUGGCGAAGGCGACUUUCUGGUCUGUAACUGACACUGAGGCGCGAAAGCGUGGGGGAGCAAACAGGAUUAGAUACCCUGGUAGUCCACGCCGUAAACGAUGAGUGCUAAGUGUUAGAGGGUUUCCGCCCUUUAGUGCUGCAG